RNAcentral lists this transfer RNA (70 nucleotides) under Mus musculus (house mouse). Its description in RNAcentral is "tRNA-Ser". The record is from RNAcentral. Lineage: Eukaryota; Metazoa; Chordata; Mammalia; Rodentia; Muridae.
GGAAGAUGGCUCAGUGGAUAAGAGCUCUGGCUGCUCUUCUAGAGGUUCUGAGUUCAAUUCUCAGCAACCA